Molecule: ribosomal RNA, 741 nt
Filed under: Triticum aestivum (bread wheat)
Lineage: Eukaryota; Viridiplantae; Streptophyta; Magnoliopsida; Poales; Poaceae
Description: partial small subunit ribosomal RNA
Source: RNAcentral
AUGAUAGAUGCGGACGCUAAUCUUUGGCAAAACUUGAUGACUUCAUGGCCAGAAAUAGCUAAGUUCCAGAAUAAGCCCUUUCCCCUCUACGAUAAGCUUGGUGAUCUGUAUGGUGGGCAUAUAGCAGAAGGUGACUUCAAUUUCACAUCAACUGAGGUUACAAAAGUGAGUGAUGGUGAUCUCGAAGUUGAAAGAGAGAAGACUGCCUUCUCUUUUGACCUGAAUCAAUACGGUGAUGAUUUACACAUGUAUGAUGAUCCAAGAGAUGCCGCCCCAAGUGAUGGUCCAAGUGAUGCUGCCCCAAAUGAUGGUCCCAGAGAUGAUGCCCCAAGUGAUGGUCCAAGAGGUGCUGCCCCAAGUGAUGGUUCAAGAGAUGCUACACAAAGAGGUGGUGUUGCUACAUCAAGCAACAAGCAUGUGAAGGAAUCAAAGAAGGGUAAGAAGCGUGAUGAUCCUAUGGUGGAAGUGAUGGCACAAUAUGUGGAGAUCAAACGAAAGCAAGCGAAGGAGGAGUCUGCUCUAUUGGUCGGGGCAAAAAAUGCGCAAGAAUUCUCCAUCAGCAAGUGCAUUGCUGUUUUGCACAAGAUGGAAAGCAUCCGCCGCGAUGAACGAGCCACUGCCUACAAAGUGUUCAAAAGUGUUGAGAAUCAUGAGAUCUUUCUUAAUUCUGUCGCCGAAGAUGAAGAGAGUGCUGCAGUGUUUCUUCGGAGCGAAAUGGCAGAGUUGACUCAAAGCAUCUAA